UACCUCGCAUUUCUUGAAUGCGAGGUACUCAAUCUGAACACAAACAAAGUUCCCAAUUUCGGCAUUCAAGUCUGUCUCACUCUCCCUUCACUCUCUCCGUCCAGCUCACUCCUCACUUUCUCUUCUCUUGGGCGCCGCUUUCUCAUCGGAAAUCUUGGUCACAGCUUUGUCGUCGGAAUCUCUCGGCCUUCUCGUCGGAAGCUCUUCUAUUUUGUAGAGCUGCAGCAUUUCUCCUCAAGCGAAAUCUGGCGGCGGCACUUUCUCAUCCAAAGCUCUCAUCGGAAGCAUUGGAAGCUCUCGCCCAUUGCAGAGCUUCCUCUUUGGGAACCCAUCUCUGCUAGCUAGCUGCCCCUCUCUCCCUCCUCCCAAUUUGCCAUUUUUACAACCUCAACAGGAUACAACCUCAACAGGAUAAUUUUUCCAAACCAAUUCAGUGAUUUGCUGCAAUUUUGAGCGCUCCUGUUUUAAACUGAAAUCUUUUUGCAGAGUCAUACGAUUAUCCCUCCUUUUCUUUGUUUUCAUCAUUUAUUUUCUCUCUCUUUUUUUCUGUUCAAAGUACUUAUUUUUCUAGAGAUGUUUGUAUGGAAUUAUAGUCUAUCGAAGACCAAAUUUCAAACUUGUUUAAGUAAUUACUUUCAUGGGUAUCUUCAAUUUGGUUUGAAUAUCAGCUACCGUGUGAAGGGAUCAAAUUGAGUGGAAAAAAUUUUAGAUCUCCACUGAAUGUGAAAGAGCAUGAAUGCUUAUAUGAUGAUUGUUGUGGAGCAAGAACGUACUGUUGCCUUGAAGUUAAUUGCCUUCAAUGACUAGUAUUUCUAUCUUCAUUUCUUAGGCAGAAGUGUUGGACCCUGCGGUAAAGGGAACUCUGAAUGUGCUACAAUCAUGUGCAAGAGUUUCAUCUGUCAAAAGAGUGGUAGUAACAUCUUCUAUGGCCUCAAUUGCAUACAACCGAGAAGUGAAGGAUGGUGUUGUAGUUGAUGAAAGUCGGUUUUCAGAGCAAUCAUACUGUGUAGAACGCAAGUUGCAGAGAAUGGACACUCGCUUGGCACGUAUAGAUGAUCAUUUAGGCAUUACUCCACCUCAGGGUGGAGCUGCAGAUGAAGAUGACGAUUGAAGCUGCACCAUUAGGAUCACUAUAUUAUUUGUACAUGGAUUUGCUUGCAUUUUGUUUUUAAUCUGUGGAAUGUUGGAUGUUUAACUUGAUUUUACUUUUUCUGUUUUUUAAUUUACUAAAGACUUGUGCUUUUGCAGUGGUUUGUGAUUAUUGGCUGACAAGUUGUUGGAAAUAUUGCUUGGAUUAAA
Molecule: long non-coding RNA, 1299 nt
Organism: Coffea arabica (coffee)
Lineage: Eukaryota; Viridiplantae; Streptophyta; Magnoliopsida; Gentianales; Rubiaceae
Source: RefSeq, a predicted model, not a curated record